RNAcentral lists this ribosomal RNA (253 nucleotides) under uncultured bacterium. Its description in RNAcentral is "partial 16S ribosomal RNA". It matches the Rfam family "Bacterial small subunit ribosomal RNA", at positions 524 to 776 of the family's 1533-position model. The record is from RNAcentral.
UACGAAGGGGGCUAGCGUUGCUCGGAAUCACUGGGCGUAAAGGGUGCGUAGGCGGGUCUUUAAGUCAGGGGUGAAAUCCUGGAGCUCAACUCCAGAACUGCCUUUGAUACUGAAGAUCUUGAGUUCGGGAGAGGUGAGUGGAACUGCGAGUGUAGAGGUGAAAUUCGUAGAUAUUCGCAAGAACACCAGGGGCGAAGGCGGCUCACGGGCCCGAUACGGACGCUGAGGCACGAAAGCGUGGGGAGCAAACAGG